AGAGUUUGAUCCUGGCUCAGAACGAACGCUGGCGGCAGGCUUAACACAUGCAAGUCGAGCGAGGUCUUCGGGCCUAGCGGCGGACGGGUUAGUAACGCGUGGGAACGUGCCCUUUCACUACGGAAUAGUCCCGGGAAACUGGGUUUAAUACCGUAUACGCCCUUUCGGGGGAAAGAAUUUCGGUGAAGGAUCGGCCCGCGUCUGAUUAGGUAGUUGGUGGGGUAAUGGCCUACCAAGCCUACGAUCAGUAGCUGGUUUUAGAGGAUGAUCAGCAACACUGGGACUGAGACACGGCCCAGACUCCUACGGGAGGCAGCAGUGGGGAAUCUUAGACAAUGGGCGCAAGCCUGAUCUAGCCAUGCCGCGUGAGUGAUGAAGGCCUUAGGGUCGUAAAGCUCUUUCGCUGGGGAAGAUAAUGACGGUACCCAGUAAAGAAACCCCGGCUAACUCCGUGCCAGCAGCCGCGGUAAUACGGAGGGGGUUAGCGUUGUUCGGAAUUACUGGGCGUAAAGCGCGCGUAGGCGGACUGUUAAGUCGGGGGUGAAAUCCCGGGGCUCAACCCCGGAACGGCCUUCGAUACUGGCAGUCUGGAGUUCGAGAGAGGUGAGUGGAAUUCCGAGUGUAGAGGUGAAAUUCGUAGAUAUUCGGAGGAACACCAGUGGCGAAGGCGGCUCACUGGCUCGAUACUGACGCUGAGGUGCGAAAGUGUGGGGAGCAAACAGGAUUAGAUACCCUGGUAGUCCACACCGUAAACGAUGAAUGCCAGUCGUCGGGUAGUAUACUGCUCGGUGACACACCUAACGGAUUAAGCAUUCCGCCUGGGGAGUACGGUCGCAAGAUUAAAACUCAAAGGAAUUGACGG
This 862-nucleotide ribosomal RNA is filed under the name uncultured marine bacterium. RNAcentral describes it as "bacterial SSU rRNA". It matches the Rfam family "Bacterial small subunit ribosomal RNA", at positions 8 to 916 of the family's 1533-position model. The record is from RNAcentral.